CCUACGGGUGGCAGCAGUGGGGAAUAUUGGGCAAUGGGCGCAAGCCUGACCCAGCAACGCCGCGUGAAGGAAGACGGCUCUCGGGUUGUAAACUUCCUUUAAGAGGGAAGAGCAGAAGACGGUACCUCUUGAAUAAGCCACGGCUAACUACGUGCCAGGAGCCGCGGUAAUACGUAGGAGGCAAGCGUUGUCCGGAUUUACUGGGGGUAAAGGGCGUGCAGCCGGGAAGACAAGUCAGAUGUGAAAUCCCGGGGCUCAACCGCGGAACUGCAGUUGAAACUGUUUUUCUUGAGUACCGGAGAGGUAAGCGGAAUGCCUGGUGUAGCGGUGAAAUGCGUAGAUAUAAGGAAGAACACCAGUGGCGAAGGCGGAUGACUGGACGGCAACUGACGGUGAGGCGCGAAAGCGUGGGGAGCGAACAGGAUUAGAUACCCUUGUAGUC
This 442-nucleotide ribosomal RNA is filed under the name uncultured bacterium. RNAcentral's name for it is "partial 16S ribosomal RNA". It matches the Rfam family "Bacterial small subunit ribosomal RNA", at positions 338 to 795 of the family's 1533-position model. The record is from RNAcentral.